RNAcentral lists this ribosomal RNA (493 nucleotides) under uncultured bacterium. RNAcentral's name for it is "partial 16S ribosomal RNA". It matches the Rfam family "Bacterial small subunit ribosomal RNA", at positions 28 to 507 of the family's 1533-position model. The record is from RNAcentral.
GGUGAACGCUGGCGGUAGGCCUAACACAUGCAAGUCGAACGGCAGCACAGUAAGAGCUUGCUCUUACGGGUGGCGAGUGGCGGACGGGUGAGGAAUACAUCGGAAUCUACUUUUUCGUGGGGGAUAACGUAGGGAAACUUACGCUAAUACCGCAUACGACCUACGGGUGAAAGCAGGGGAUCUUCGGACCUUGCGCGAUUGAAUGAGCCGAUGUCGGAUUAGCUAGUUGGCGGGGUAAAGGCCCACCAAGGCGACGAUCCGUAGCUGGUCUGAGAGGAUGAUCAGCCACACUGGAAAUGAGACACGGUCCAGACUCCUACGGGAGGCAGCAGUGGGGAAUAUUGGACAAUGGGCGCAAGCCUGAUCCAGCCAUACCGCGGGGGUGAAGAAGGCCUUCGGGUUGUAAAGCCCUUUUUGUUGGGAAAGAAAAGCAGCAGGUUAAUACCCCGCUGUUCUGACGGUACCCAAAGAAUAAGCACCGGCUAACUUCGUG